Molecule: transfer RNA, 71 nt
Filed under: Ovis aries (sheep)
Lineage: Eukaryota; Metazoa; Chordata; Mammalia; Artiodactyla; Bovidae
Rfam family: tRNA
About the family: Transfer RNA (tRNA) molecules are approximately 80 nucleotides in length.
Source: Rfam by way of RNAcentral
UGGUGACUGGCUUAGUAGUAAAGAAUCUGCCUGCAAUGCAGGAGACCAAGGUUCGAUCCCUGGGUCAGGAA